Molecule: ribosomal RNA, 503 nt
Filed under: uncultured bacterium
Lineage: Bacteria
Description: partial 16S ribosomal RNA
Rfam family: Bacterial small subunit ribosomal RNA
Source: RNAcentral
GUUGAACGCUGGCGGCAGGCUUAACACAUGCAAGUCGAGCGGGGUGAUGGUGCUUGCACUAUCACUUAGCGGCGGACGGGUGAGUAAUGCUUAGGAAUCUGCCUAUUAGUGGGGGACAACAUCUCGAAAGGGAUGCUAAUACCGCAUACGUCCUACGGGAGAAAGCAGGGGAUCACUUGUGACCUUGCGCUAAUAGAUGAGCCUAAGUCGGAUUAGCUAGUUGGUGGGGUAAAGGCCUACCAAGGCGACGAUCUGUAGCGGGUCUGGGAGGAUGUUCCGCCACACUGGGACGGAGACCGGGCCCAGACUCCUACGGGAGGCAUAAGUGGGGAAUAUUGGACAAUUGGGGGAACCCUGAUCCAGCCAUGCCGCGUGUGUGAAGAAGGCCUUAUGGUUGUAAAGCACUUUAAGCGAGGAGGAGGCUCUUUUGGUUAAUACCCAAGAUGAGUGGACGUUACUCGCAGAAUAAGCACCGGCUAACUCUGUGCCAGCCGCCGCAGUAA